UCCGAGCGUCAUUACAACCCUCAAGCCCGGCUUGGUGUUAGGUGCCGUCCCGUGGGACGCACCUGCAAACGAGCGGCGGCACCGCCGGCGAUUCGAGCGUAGUAACAAGCUCCCGCUUGACGUCGCCCGGCGGUUCCCGCCGGAUAACCCCAUUUUUAAUGGUUGACCUCGGAUCAGGUAGGGAUACCCGCUGAACUUAA
RNAcentral lists this unclassified non-coding RNA (200 nucleotides) under soil metagenome. Its description in RNAcentral is "partial contains internal transcribed spacer 2 and large subunit ribosomal RNA". The record is from RNAcentral.